RNAcentral lists this ribosomal RNA (610 nucleotides) under Ampelomyces sp. LK-2010. Its description in RNAcentral is "eukaryotic LSU rRNA". The stretch from base 256 to 409 matches the Rfam family "5.8S ribosomal RNA". Lineage: Eukaryota; Fungi; Ascomycota; Dothideomycetes; Pleosporales; Phaeosphaeriaceae. The record is from RNAcentral.
UCUUGGUCCAAUUAGAGGAAGUAAAAGUCGUAACAAGGUUUCCGUAGGUGAACCUGCGGAAGGAUCAUUAUCUUCAGUACUUUGCUACUGACAGGUGGGCCUGUUAGCCUGUAUAGUAUUACUACUGAUGAGCAGCAUGGCCACAGCCCUUACCCUUGUCUUUUGUGCACCUAUGUUUCCAUAGCAGGCUGACAACCUUGCUGGACGACCCCAUACCAUGAAUAUUUUAUCAGCGUCUGAAAAACCCAAAUUUACAACUUUCAACAACGGAUCUCUUGGUUCUGGCAUCGAUGAAGAACGCAGCGAAAUGCGAUAAGUAGUGUGAAUUGCAGAAUUCAGUGAAUCAUCGAAUCUUUGAACGCACAUUGCGCCCCUUGGUAUUCCAUGGGGCAUGCCUGUUCGAGCGUCAUUUGUACCUCAAGCUAUGCUUGGUGUUGGGUGCCUGUCCCUGUUCUUUCUUGGACUCACCUCAAAGCAAUUGGCAGCCAGUGUUUUGGUAUAGAACUGCAGCACAUUUUGCAAUUCUAGUACCAAAGACUGGAACCAGUAAGACCCUCUACUCUUGACCUCGAAUCAGGCAGGGAUACCCGCUGAACUUAAGCAUAUCAAU